CAGUCGCCGCGGUAGUACGUAUGUCACGAGCGUUAUCCGGAUUUAUUGGGCGUAAAGCGCGUCUAGGUGGUUAUAUAAGUCUGAUGUGAAAAUGCAGGGCUCAACUCUGUAUUGCGUUGGAAACUGUAUAACUAGAGUACUGGAGAGGUAAGCGGAACUACAAGUGUAGAGGUGAAAUUCGUAGAUAUUUGUAGGAAUGCCGAUGGGGAAGCCAGCUUACUGGACAGAUACUGACGCUGAAGCGCGAAAGCGUGGUUAGCAAACAGGAUUAGAUACCCCGGUAGUCCCUGUCUCUUAUACA
RNAcentral lists this ribosomal RNA (301 nucleotides) under uncultured bacterium. RNAcentral describes it as "partial 16S ribosomal RNA". It matches the Rfam family "Bacterial small subunit ribosomal RNA", at positions 509 to 808 of the family's 1533-position model. The record is from RNAcentral.